Macaca mulatta (Rhesus monkey) is the source of this 2742-nucleotide non-coding RNA. Lineage: Eukaryota; Metazoa; Chordata; Mammalia; Primates; Cercopithecidae. The record is from RefSeq and is a predicted model, not a curated record.
CAUAUGAGUUGUGGGAGCAUCCACAUGUGUGUGUAUGUGUUUGCACAUGUGCACACGUAUUUCCUAGCUCUGUUCACUGAAAAGGUUUAGAAACCAUGACCGACCCAGUAGCAAUGGGCAUCCCUCGUGCCCAGAUGUGGCUUUGAAACACCAUUUUUCCACUAACGAGAAAGGGCUAUUUCUAGGUUUGGGAUGGGCAAUGUACAAGAUGUGUCUGGAACACCUUGCUAUACCAGAUAAUGAGAAAGCUCUUGAAGACCACCAGGAUCAUGUUGAAAACACUCGGGUCAACUCAAAGAGGCUUCCACUGGCUGAUGAGGGGGAAAUUUGAGCUUCAGAAAGGAUAAUAAAUGUAAUCAUUAUGAAACCCAUCAAAUAAAUUGAAAUCCAUGACUUCAUAAUGAUAUCUUAAAAAUUGAUCUCCUUCAGAGGAUAAUAGGAAAAUAAUCCAUUUUUUUUGUGAAAAUUAGUAAAUGAAAAGAAAGAAUCAAACAUUUAUUCUACUUCUGCUAAGUGAACGUGCCACUGAGUAAUCAAAUAGUAGAUGAGGGAAAGCAAAUUUUUAGAAAAGUGUUCCAGUGGACGAAUUAAUAAAUGGAAAAGAAAUGAUAGAACUAGAAUGUUACCAUUUUGCAACCCCCUUUGAAUGAAUAGAUCUUGGCAUCAAGCAUCAACAGCUGCUAUUAUCACAACAAGAGAGACAAUCAGACACUGCAUGUCUCAUGGUGAAAGAACAAAUCACCAUCUAGAAUCUUGCCAAAAGUUCAAACCUGAGGCUGAUCAAGUCUCUGGAUCCAGCUCCCAUUUGCAGGAAAUAGAGAAGACAGAGGACAAUCAGUAUACAAUCAGCAAAGGCCAAAUGGUGGGAAGUCUACCAGUCAAGUACCCAGGUAAGUCGGAAAAAAGAAAGGGAUGGAGGAGAGACCCUGUAGAAUAUAAGAGAAUUAAAAGACACGUCGAAUUUACAAAUGGGUAAAGCUACACUAUAGUGUUUAGGAAUGCAUGCCUAGAUGAUAAAACCACAAGAAACACAAGGAAUGGUUACUUAACACUUCAGGGAAGUGGUUAGUUUUGUGAGAAGGAAGCCAUAUUGAGCAGAAUGAGACACAGAAGGGACUUUGGGGUUGCCGUGCAAAGUUCCAUGUCUUGACCUGGACAGUGGUUGCUAAGGUGUUCACCUUUUAGCAAUGAAUUGGGCUAUUAAUUCACUUUGUGUGGUUUUCUUAAUCUAUGUUUUAUUUUAUAAUGGAAAGGGUUAAGAGAGUAGAAGAAAAGAAGAAGAGCAAUUUUUAAAUUUAUAUUUUAUGAAUGCCACAAAGGGCUUAACUAGUGAAGAGCAGCAGUUUGUGUCAAGACAUUAUCAUGGAAUGGUAAUGAGUGUGAGCUCUGAGCCACCCUGGUGGGGUCUGAAUUGCAGCUUUGCCACUUACCAGCUGUUUAACCCUGGGAAAAUCACUCAGCCUCUCUGUUUCAGUUUUCUCUUCUGUAAAGUGGAUAUCGUAAUAGUUCCCACUUCAUAGUGUCAUCAUAAGGUUUACAUGAGAUGAUAACAUGAACAUUGAGAAUACUGCCAGGCAUAUAAUAAGGGCUCAAUACAGCUAUGUUGUUCCUUCUUACUUUUUGCCUUUCUCUCCCAUUCGUUUUCCUCAAACUUUGUAGCACUAUCUCUUCCUUAAAAUCCUGUGGAGUAGGGUGGGGAGUCCUCCACUAGUCCUAGCCUGUGUCUCUCUUGUCCUUCUAUCCUCUGUUCCUCAUUCUGGAUUUAAAUACCCCCAGGGAGAAAUCUGAAAAGACAGGGAAGGAAAGAUCCCAGCUGGGCACUCAGAACCUAUUUAGAGAUGAGAAAGAGGGAAAGAGACUUUUCUUGAAUCCACAGCGCUAGAACAGUGCCUGAUCCAGAGCAAGCACGUAGCAGACAUUUGCUGAAAGGAUGAAAAAAAGAACUUGUAGAACAUGAUUUAAAAAGCACUGCUCAAGCAUUUCUCUUUUGGAUGAAGAGUUUGAAGUAGUCCAUGACUUUAUUUUUGCCUUUGUCCUGCCUAGCUAUUUUUCUUCCCUGCUGCCCCAUUUUGGUGUUCAUGUCUUGGUAUGAGUCAAAUAGUCGAAAUGUAGUAUCUGUUGGCAAAACAUACAUAUUGCACUGUUCUUUAUUCAGAAAGCCACAUGUGGACUCCAGCCCUAUGCCUACCAACCAUCUUGUCACUGUCACUCGGAGCUCCUUCCUGCCCAGCAGAUGUGUCCACCCUGUCCUUCUUCCUCUAAUGUUUUUCCUGUCAUUGUUCCCAUACCUGACUCCCUCCCAUCCUGUGUUCCAGUGUAGAUGAGCCUAUUGCAGCAAAGCCUUUGUGUACCAUCCUCCCAUAGGUAAAUUUCCCCAUCCACUGAUUAUUUCCCUCCUGUUUCCUUCAAAGCACUUACCACGUAUCUACCCACAGAUGAAUAUUUGUGGAGGAGUCCAUGGCCUUGACAACAAAUGACCAAACACGCACUACAAGAAUGGAAGCAUGAAUGGAAGUUGAUUUGUUUCUUGUCUCCUGCAUAGCUUCAUGAAGAGAAUCCAGCCAGGACUGUGAAGCCCCAGGGAAUGGCUGCACUUCAAGUCAGAAGGAGCCUGGGUCCCUGAAUCAUCGUGUAGAAGGCUCUCCACCCAACUCAAUGGUGCAAUGGACCACAAGCAAGAACUUAAUUUAGAAUGUGCUUAUUUUGUUAGAUUUGGUAAUUAAAAAAUUGAUCCCACUCUGA